ACAAAGGCCCUUUUAAGGGCCACCAUCGCCUCACAGAAAGAGCUG
Molecule: non-coding RNA, 45 nt
Organism: Fukomys damarensis (Damara mole-rat)
Lineage: Eukaryota; Metazoa; Chordata; Mammalia; Rodentia; Bathyergidae
Source: Rfam